UAGUCCACGCCGUAAACGAUGUCAACUAGCCGUUGGUCGGGUUACCGAUUAGUGGCGCAGCUAACGCAAUAAGUUGACCGCCUGGGGAGUACGGUCGCAAGAUUAAAACUCAAAGGAAUUGACGGGGGCCCGCACAAGCGGUGGAGCAUGUGGUUUAAUUCGAUGCAACGCGAAGAACCUUACCUACCCUUGACAUUGACAGAACCUUGUAGAGAUACGAGGGUGCCUUCGGGCCUGGAAAACAGGUGCUGCAUGGCUGUCGUCAACUCGUGUCGUGAGAUGUCGGGUUAAGUCCCUUAACGAGCGAAACCCUUGUCUUCAGUUGCCAGCACGUAAUGGUGGGGACCCUGAAGAGACUGCCGGUGUUAAACCGGGGGAAGGUGGGGAUGACGUCAAGUCCUCAUGCCCUUACGGCCUGGGCUACACACGUGCUACAAUGGAUGGUACAGAGGGCUGCAAACCCGCGAGGGUAAGCCAAUCCCAGAAAACCAUUCGUAGUCCGGAUCGGAGUCUGCAACUCGACUCCGUGAAGUCGG
This 536-nucleotide ribosomal RNA is filed under the name uncultured bacterium. RNAcentral's name for it is "bacterial SSU rRNA". It matches the Rfam family "Bacterial small subunit ribosomal RNA", at positions 791 to 1329 of the family's 1533-position model. The record is from RNAcentral.